Molecule: ribosomal RNA, 460 nt
Filed under: uncultured bacterium
Lineage: Bacteria
Description: partial 16S ribosomal RNA
Rfam family: Bacterial small subunit ribosomal RNA
Source: RNAcentral
CCUACGGGCGGCAGCAGUGAGGAAUAUUGGUCAAUGGGCGGGAGCCUGAACCAGCCAAGUCGCGUGAGGGAAGAAGGUACUGCGUAUUGUAAACCUCUUUUAUCUGGGAAUAAAGUGGGGAACUAGUCCCUUGUUGUGUGUACCAUAUGAAUAAGCAUCGGCUAACUCCGUGCCAGCAGCCGCGGUAAUACGGAGGGUGCAAGCGUUAUCCGGAUUUAUUGGGUGUAAAGGGUGUGUAGGUGGUUAAGUAAGUCAGCGGUGAAAGUUUGUGGCUCAACCAUAGAAUUGCUGUGGAAACUGGUUGGCUUGAGUAUAGGUGAGGUAGGCGGAAUGCGUGGUGUAGCGGUGAAAUGCAUAGAUAUCACGCAGAACUCCGAUGGCGAAGGCAGCUUACUAGACUAUAACUGACGCUGAGGCACGAAAGCGUGGGGAGCAAACAGGAUUAGAUACCCUAGUAGUC